This 405-nucleotide ribosomal RNA is filed under the name uncultured bacterium. RNAcentral describes it as "partial 16S ribosomal RNA". It matches the Rfam family "Bacterial small subunit ribosomal RNA", at positions 30 to 526 of the family's 1533-position model. The record is from RNAcentral.
AUUGAACGCUGCGGCAGGCUUAACACAUGCAAGUCGAGCGAGCGGCGGACGGGUGAGUAAUGCUUAGGAAUGUGCCUAUUAGUGAGGGACAACAUUACCAAAGGGAUGCUAAUACCGAAUACUAAUAGAUGAGCCUAAGGGGGAGUAGGUAGUUGGUGGGGUAAAGGCCUCCCAAGGCGACGAUCUGUAGCGGGUCUGAGAGGAUGAACCGCCAAAACGGGAAUGGUGCACCGCCCCGAAUCCUACGGGAGGCAGCAGUUGGGAAUAUUUGCAAAUUGGGCGAACUCUGAUCCAGGCAUGCCGGGGGUGUGAAUAAGGCCUUUUGGUUGUAAAUCACUUUAAGCGAGGAGGCGUUACUCGCAGAAUAAGCACCGGCUAACUCCGUGCCAGCAGCCGCGGUAAUUC